RNAcentral lists this non-coding RNA (113 nucleotides) under Desulfosporosinus sp. RNAcentral describes it as "TPP sequence". It matches the Rfam family "TPP riboswitch aptamer (THI element)". Rfam says of the family: Vitamin B(1) in its active form thiamin pyrophosphate (TPP) is an essential coenzyme that is synthesised by coupling of pyrimidine and thiazole moieties in bacteria. The record is from RNAcentral. RNAcentral also lists the same sequence under 1 other name. Lineage: Bacteria; Bacillati; Bacillota; Clostridia; Eubacteriales; Desulfitobacteriaceae.
UGUAACGGGCGGGGGGGCUGGAAAGGCCGGCUGAGAUUUAGACCCUAUGAGGUCUAGGACCCUUAUAACCUGAUCUGGAUAAUGCCAGCGUAGGUAAGCAGUUUUACUCUUUU